Molecule: long non-coding RNA, 3561 nt
Filed under: Homo sapiens (human)
Lineage: Eukaryota; Metazoa; Chordata; Mammalia; Primates; Hominidae
Description: HSALNT0291698
Source: RNAcentral
CGGGAACCCGGCCCGGCCGUACCCCGCCGGCCUGCCGACCCGGGUCCGGGGGCCCAGUUGGCGCCCGGACCAGCUCUCCGGUCUGCGUCCUGUAGAUGGGAAAACUGAGGCCUGAGAGGGCGCGAGGGCGGGGACGAGGCCGAGGACUCGGGUUCGAAUCUCGAGGACGCCAGUAGCCCGCUCUGAGGCCGCGUGGGGCUGGUGGAGGAGCCACCGGUCGGGCCCCCAAGACCGGCUGACGUGGGCCUCGCCUCGGGCGACUCCCGCCGGGCUAGUGGCUGGCCGUGUGGUGACCUUGGGCGAGUUACUUCGCACAGCCACCCAGGGGCCUCUUCUCCAACACGAUAGCACUGCACCCGGAGGGCCUUCAGACCUGAGCUGAAAUCUACACCACCGGCUCUCUGACUAUCAGGCUUUGGACUAUACUUUGGGCUUUCCUGGGUCUCUUACCUGGCAGACAGCAGAUUUUGGAACUUUUCAGCCUCCAUAAUCAUGCAUGGAAUUCAAAUCGCGGAGUGACAGGCUGUGUGUGGGGCUGAUUGUCUGGGUCAGAGACAUCACAACUGGCUGGUGAGGAGAGCUUUCUGACAACAGGAGCUGUCCAACAAGGAGUGGGCUGCUGUCACCGAGGAGCUGAAGCGGCCGACGGCUGACCUUCCACUGGGCACUAGGCAGGGCCUGGAUGGAGGGAGUCUUAAAGUAGGAGGGAGAAGCCAAGGAAAUAGCUCUCUAGAAGCAUUUUGUACACUGAAAAGUGUCAUUGAAACGCUGUCACAGUUCUAAGAGGAGACAUUGCUCCUCUGAAAACCAGCCUCACUCCCUAAGCUGAUGUAUUUCCAGAAGCAGGGCCUGAGCUGCCACAUGCAGGCCCUGAGGACUUGAGGCACAUCGUUCUUUUUUUGGGUCUCAUCUGUGAAUCAGCCACUCAAACCUAGUGGCUCUCAGCCUGCAAGUUCAUUCAUGCAAUGCAGGGCUUCUCCACUGCUCCCCCAAACCUCCUCAGGCCACCCCUGCGUGUGCACCCACCGAUAUGGCCUGUUCUGAACAGGUGACCCUCAGCUGCCAGCAUCACUGCCCUUCAAAACCUGACUUAUCUCUCGUGUUUUACAGUUACCAUAGCAGAAAGAUUUAUCUUCAUCUUUUACCAUUUAAAAAUACUAAUGGAAUUACUGUUUUUGUCUGUUUCUGUUUUGAAGCCAUACGAUUUUUCUCUCACUGCCACCACAUUUGUGAUGGCCUUAAAAAUUAUUCUUAAAGAUAAAUAUAAUUCUAGAAAAACCUUCUCAGGGAAAAAUGGGUAUUUGUUUCCAACUGUUGUGGGGCUGAAAAACUUUUAUAGCAUGCUUGGUGGCAUAUAUGGGAUUCUAAGGGCCUUUCAGCACCAACCUUCCUUCCUGGUCCCAGCAGGUGAAGGCAGGGCCCUCCCAGGCCAGUGCACCUGUCACAGCCCUUGGCUGGCUCGAGGAAGGAAGGGACUUCACAUCUAUUGAAUGUUGUGUGCUUCACAAGGGCUGUCUCCUUUCAUCUGCACAGCAACUCAUUGUACAGAUGAGGAAUUUGGGCCCGGAGAGGUGAGGUGACCCACCCAAAGUCACACAGCCAGGAAGAAGCAGAGUGCACUUCCCUCUCAAUCACACUCUCCAAAUCCUCCAGUUGGUUCCUGUUCAGCCUUCUGAACAGGGUGGAUUUUUGCUUAAGACUUUCUAUAUGGAUUAUAACCCUUAAAUUAUGAUAUUUUGUCAUAACUAUUUUAGCUUUCAUCUGUGUGGUACUUAACAUUUUAGCAUAACUUUUUGACUAUAAGAAAAGUACACGAUCUAUUUUUUGUAACUUUUUUGGGGGGUGACUUUUAGUUUAAAAUUAUUAUAAGUUCACAAGAGGUUGCAAAAAUGGUAUACAGAGAGGUCCCAUGACAUUCACUCAGUUUCCCCCAAUGGUACCAUAUCAAAAUCAGGAAAGUGACAUUGGUAACUUGUGUGUGUAUAGUUCAUUGUCAUUUUAUCCCAUGGAUAGAUUCAUGUAACCACACUGCAAUCAAGAUAUAGAACUGUUCCAUCACCACAAAGGUUUUCUUCAUGUUACCCUUUUUAAUCAUAGCCACCCCCUUCCCUCUCACCAUCCCUAACCCCUGGCAACCACUAAUCUGCUCCCCAUUUCUACAAUUCUGUCAUUCCUAGAAUGUCAUAUACAUGGACUCAUACUGUAUGUAACCUUUUGAGACUGAUGUUUUUCACUCAGCGUAAUGCCCUUGAGAUCCAUCCAAGGUGUCCUGUGUAUCCAUAGUUCAUUCUUUUUUAUUGUUAAGUAGUAUUCCAUGGGUGAUCUGUUUUUUGAACACUUGGAAACACAGAGAAUAUUUUUUAAAAAUAGAAAAAAAUCAAAACAAACUCAAACCUCCAGUUAGGAGGAGGGAAGUCUCCUGGUUUCCUUCUUGCUCAUGUCCGAAGUGGCUUAGGCCCUGGGCUGACACUUUGAAGACCCAGGUGCAAAGACAGGAGAGAAAGACAGGGAGAAGACAAAGCCAUUUGCCCCAAGCCUCUCUGCUCCCAAUCUUCUCCUCGGUGGGACUCCAUCUGGCUGCUGCGGACUCUCUGUUUGCAUCUGUCUCUUUCCGUUUUUCCCCUCUCUUUCUCCUCACCCUGUGUGUCUCCAUCUGUCUCUCUGAGUCAGUCUCUCUCUUUCUCAAACCACAAAACAUGGCUAAAUGCAAUUUCCAUUGAGUGCAGAAUCUUGUGUCUGUGCUUCAUUAUUCUGUCUGGAUUGGUACAUGUUUUCAAUUGCAUAAUUCCCCUCCUUCCUCAUUUUCUCCCCAAGACUUUCUCCCACAUAAUAUGAGCAUUUGGGGGCCAGCUUUUGACAGUUCUGCUUUUGAAUGCUGUGAAAAGUAGAGCGAGUGCCUUUUUCAGUCCUGCACCACCAGGGAAGCGAGGUUGGCAAGUUCCCCCAGGGUUCCUGCCGAGCUUUGUCCCUUAGGCCAGUCUUUGGGAGGAGUGUCCCUCUGCCAGCAUUCUCAAAGCCAAGGCUCUCCCUGCAACACCUGCCUUGGGGGAGGGUUCAAAGAGCAUUUUGAUGGCCUGCUCAAGACCUUCCACCCACAUGGGUGACCACGGCAUCAGAUCCAAACUUCCCUCUCUGGCUGUUCACACCCUUAAACAUCUGGACUGACCCUAUUCAUUUAUUUCUUCAUUUUUAUGUAACUGGGCAGUAUAACUUCUUGCCCUAACAGCCAUUGCAGUUUUGAAAUGGGGUUAAUAGAAAGUGAUCUAAAUAUUCAACAAGAAGAGAAUGAUUAAAUGUAUUAUAGGAUGUCCCACAUGACCAGACAUUACAAAAUCAUUAGAAAUCAUGGUUUGGACAGUUUUCAGAGUGGGAAAAUACUCAUGAUAUAUGGUACUGUUAGAACCCUGAUGAUAUAAAAAUACAUAGGCAUUGAAAAAUGGCUUAGAGAAAAGGACCAAAGUGUUAGCUCUUAUUUUUGAAUAGUGGGAUUGCAGAUGACUUUUUAAAUUUUUCUUAAUGUUCACAAUAAGCAUGUUUUAUCUUUAUAAUCAGAAAACAAAU